Molecule: ribosomal RNA, 2902 nt
Filed under: Escherichia coli
Lineage: Bacteria; Pseudomonadati; Pseudomonadota; Gammaproteobacteria; Enterobacterales; Enterobacteriaceae
Description: bacterial LSU rRNA
Rfam family: Bacterial large subunit ribosomal RNA
Source: RNAcentral
UUAAGCGACUAAGCGUACACGGUGGAUGCCCUGGCAGUCAGAGGCGAUGAAGGACGUGCUAAUCUGCGAUAAGCGUCGGUAAGGUGAUAUGAACCGUUAUAACCGGCGAUUUCCGAAUGGGGAAACCCAGUGUGUUUCGACACACUAUCAUUAACUGAAUCCAUAGGUUAAUGAGGCGAACCGGGGGAACUGAAACAUCUAAGUACCCCGAGGAAAAGAAAUCAACCGAGAUUCCCCCAGUAGCGGCGAGCGAACGGGGAGCAGCCCAGAGCCUGAAUCAGUGUGUGUGUUAGUGGAAGCGUCUGGAAAGGCGCGCGAUACAGGGUGACAGCCCCGUACACAAAAAUGCACAUGCUGUGAGCUCGAUGAGUAGGGCGGGACACGUGGUAUCCUGUCUGAAUAUGGGGGGACCAUCCUCCAAGGCUAAAUACUCCUGACUGACCGAUAGUGAACCAGUACCGUGAGGGAAAGGCGAAAAGAACCCCGGCGAGGGGAGUGAAAAAGAACCUGAAACCGUGUACGUACAAGCAGUGGGAGCACGCUUCGGCGUGUGACUGCGUACCUUUUGUAUAAUGGGUCAGCGACUUAUAUUCUGUAGCAAGGUUAACCGAAUAGGGGAGCCGAAGGGAAACCGAGUCUUAACUGGGCGUUAAGUUGCAGGGUAUAGACCCGAAACCCGGUGAUCUAGCCAUGGGCAGGUUGAAGGUUGGGUAACACUAACUGGAGGACCGAACCGACUAAUGUUGAAAAAUUAGCGGAUGACUUGUGGCUGGGGGUGAAAGGCCAAUCAAACCGGGAGAUAGCUGGUUCUCCCCGAAAGCUAUUUAGGUAGCGCCUCGUGAAUUCAUCUCCGGGGGUAGAGCACUGUUUCGGCAAGGGGGUCAUCCCGACUUACCAACCCGAUGCAAACUGCGAAUACCGGAGAAUGUUAUCACGGGAGACACACGGCGGGUGCUAACGUCCGUCGUGAAGAGGGAAACAACCCAGACCGCCAGCUAAGGUCCCAAAGUCAUGGUUAAGUGGGAAACGAUGUGGGAAGGCCCAGACAGCCAGGAUGUUGGCUUAGAAGCAGCCAUCAUUUAAAGAAAGCGUAAUAGCUCACUGGUCGAGUCGGCCUGCGCGGAAGAUGUAACGGGGCUAAACCAUGCACCGAAGCUGCGGCAGCGACGCUUAUGCGUUGUUGGGUAGGGGAGCGUUCUGUAAGCCUGUGAAGGUGUACUGUGAGGUAUGCUGGAGGUAUCAGAAGUGCGAAUGCUGACAUAAGUAACGAUAAAGCGGGUGAAAAGCCCGCUCGCCGGAAGACCAAGGGUUCCUGUCCAACGUUAAUCGGGGCAGGGUGAGUCGACCCCUAAGGCGAGGCCGAAAGGCGUAGUCGAUGGGAAACAGGUUAAUAUUCCUGUACUUGGUGUUACUGCGAAGGGGGGACGGAGAAGGCUAUGUUGGCCGGGCGACGGUUGUCCCGGUUUAAGCGUGUAGGCUGGUUUUCCAGGCAAAUCCGGAAAAUCAAGGCUGAGGCGUGAUGACGAGGCACUACGGUGCUGAAGCAACAAAUGCCCUGCUUCCAGGAAAAGCCUCUAAGCAUCAGGUAACAUCAAAUCGUACCCCAAACCGACACAGGUGGUCAGGUAGAGAAUACCAAGGCGCUUGAGAGAACUCGGGUGAAGGAACUAGGCAAAAUGGUGCCGUAACUUCGGGAGAAGGCACGCUGAUAUGUAGGUGAAGCGACUUGCUCGUGGAGCUGAAAUCAGUCGAAGAUACCAGCUGGCUGCAACUGUUUAUUAAAAACACAGCACUGUGCAAACACGAAAGUGGACGUAUACGGUGUGACGCCUGCCCGGUGCCGGAAGGUUAAUUGAUGGGGUUAGCGCAAGCGAAGCUCUUGAUCGAAGCCCCGGUAAACGGCGGCCGUAACUAUAACGGUCCUAAGGUAGCGAAAUUCCUUGUCGGGUAAGUUCCGACCUGCACGAAUGGCGUAAUGAUGGCCAGGCUGUCUCCACCCGAGACUCAGUGAAAUUGAACUCGCUGUGAAGAUGCAGUGUACCCGCGGCAAGACGGAAAGACCCCGUGAACCUUUACUAUAGCUUGACACUGAACAUUGAGCCUUGAUGUGUAGGAUAGGUGGGAGGCUUUGAAGUGUGGACGCCAGUCUGCAUGGAGCCGACCUUGAAAUACCACCCUUUAAUGUUUGAUGUUCUAACGUUGACCCGUAAUCCGGGUUGCGGACAGUGUCUGGUGGGUAGUUUGACUGGGGCGGUCUCCUCCUAAAGAGUAACGGAGGAGCACGAAGGUUGGCUAAUCCUGGUCGGACAUCAGGAGGUUAGUGCAAUGGCAUAAGCCAGCUUGACUGCGAGCGUGACGGCGCGAGCAGGUGCGAAAGCAGGUCAUAGUGAUCCGGUGGUUCUGAAUGGAAGGGCCAUCGCUCAACGGAUAAAAGGUACUCCGGGGAUAACAGGCUGAUACCGCCCAAGAGUUCAUAUCGACGGCGGUGUUUGGCACCUCGAUGUCGGCUCAUCACAUCCUGGGGCUGAAGUAGGUCCCAAGGGUAUGGCUGUUCGCCAUUUAAAGUGGUACGCGAGCUGGGUUUAGAACGUCGUGAGACAGUUCGGUCCCUAUCUGCCGUGGGCGCUGGAGAACUGAGGGGGGCUGCUCCUAGUACGAGAGGACCGGAGUGGACGCAUCACUGGUGUUCGGGUUGUCAUGCCAAUGGCACUGCCCGGUAGCUAAAUGCGGAAGAGAUAAGUGCUGAAAGCAUCUAAGCACGAAACUUGCCCCGAGAUGAGUUCUCCCUGACUCCUUGAGAGUCCUGAAGGAACGUUGAAGACGACGACGUUGAUAGGCCGGGUGUGUAAGCGCAGCGAUGCGUUGAGCUAACCGGUACUAAUGAACCGUGAGGCUUAACCUU